UACGGGGGGGGCUAGCGUUGUUCGGAAUUACUGGGCGUAAAGGGCUCGUAGGUGGCCAACUAAGUCAGACGUGAAAUCCCCGGGCUCAACCUGGGAACUGCAUUUGUGACUGCAUCGCUGGAGUACGGCAGAGGGGGAUGGAAUUCCGCGUGUAACAGUGAAAUGCGUAGAUAUGCGGAGGAACACCGAUGGCGAAGGCAAUCCCCUGGGCCUGUACUGACGCUCAUGCACGAAAGCGUGGGGAGCAAACAGG
This 253-nucleotide ribosomal RNA is filed under the name uncultured prokaryote. RNAcentral's name for it is "partial 16S ribosomal RNA". It matches the Rfam family "Bacterial small subunit ribosomal RNA", at positions 524 to 776 of the family's 1533-position model. The record is from RNAcentral.